Molecule: non-coding RNA, 393 nt
Organism: Pelobates cultripes (western spadefoot toad)
Lineage: Eukaryota; Metazoa; Chordata; Amphibia; Anura; Pelobatidae
Source: the annotation of a GenBank genome assembly
CUUUAAAGACUUUGGAUUACAAAUACAAUUACUACUUUUAACUUUGGAUUACAAUUCGUAUCCGGAUCUAUCCAAGAAUAUCUUACUCUGGAACUUGGUGUUCUUUUCAAUUCUUUCCCAGACAAAAGCUUUGCUCAUUUUAAUCAACCACUUUUACAGGCAAAGAUCACACUACGGAUAUUUUACUGUUACAACAAUGAUCAAAGAUGCUGGGAGCACAAAAACCUAAAGACAGUUGGAGAACUUUAGUUUACUAAUUUAAGGAAGAAAUGCGCUACAAUGCCCACAGUUUAAUGGAGAGGGUGUUACGGGCAAAUGCAAAUAUUACAAGUUUUAGAAUGAAAUGUUGUAUUUCUUAAACUGUGUACUUUGUCUUUAAGAGAUAUUGCAAAC